This is a transfer RNA of Exophiala dermatitidis, 117 nucleotides long. It matches the Rfam family "tRNA". From Rfam's summary of the family: Transfer RNA (tRNA) molecules are approximately 80 nucleotides in length. Their secondary structure includes four short double-helical elements and three loops (D, anti-codon, and T loops). Further hydrogen bonds mediate the characteristic L-shaped molecular structure. tRNAs have two regions of fundamental functional importance: the anti-codon, which is responsible for specific mRNA codon recognition, and the 3' end, to which the tRNAs corresponding amino acid is attached (by aminoacyl-tRNA synthetases). tRNAs cope with the degeneracy of the genetic code in two manners: having more than one tRNA (with a specific anti-codon) for a particular amino acid; and 'wobble' base-pairing, i.e. permitting non-standard base-pairing at the 3rd anti-codon position. Lineage: Eukaryota; Fungi; Ascomycota; Eurotiomycetes; Chaetothyriales; Herpotrichiellaceae. The record is from Rfam.
GCUCGGAUGGUCUAGUUGGUUAUGACAUCGGUCUCAUAGUUACUCAUUUAUGAUCUUACGAAUUAACAAACGUAAGGAGCUAUCCGAGGGUCGCGAGUUCGAAUCUCGCUCUGAGCA